This is a long non-coding RNA of Hyaena hyaena (striped hyena), 157 nucleotides long. RefSeq lists it as uncharacterized. The record is from RefSeq and is a predicted model, not a curated record. NCBI's taxonomy places the organism in Eukaryota, Metazoa, Chordata, Mammalia, Carnivora, Hyaenidae. The transcript is spliced from 3 exons.
CUCCAGCCGUGGGGGUGCGGCUCCAGCUGUAGGGGCUGCGGCUCCAGCUGUGGGGGCUGCGGCUCCAGCUGCUGCAAGCCCGUGUGCUGCUGCAAGCCCGUGUGCUGCUGUGUGCCAGCCUGUCCCUGCUCCAGCUGUGGCUCCUGUGGGGGCUCCA